CUUGAGCGAACCCAGGUACAGCGGCUGUCCGUCCGGCCGUCCUCGUCCGUAGGUGGCGAGGAGGGCCUGGGCCUC
Streptomyces sp. NRRL B-3648 is the source of this 75-nucleotide non-coding RNA. It matches the Rfam family "ASpks TB sRNA". NCBI's taxonomy places the organism in Bacteria, Bacillati, Actinomycetota, Actinomycetes, Kitasatosporales, Streptomycetaceae. The record is from Rfam.